Molecule: unclassified non-coding RNA, 197 nt
Filed under: fungal sp.
Lineage: Eukaryota; Fungi
Also listed under: 1 other name
Description: partial internal transcribed spacer region
Rfam family: Eukaryotic small subunit ribosomal RNA (bases 1-46)
Source: RNAcentral
AAGUCGUAACAAGGUUUCCGUAGGUGAACCUGCGGAAGGAUCAUUAAUGUGUUGGGCUUCGGCCCGUUCACACCCCUUGUUUAACUCUGGUUUCUUUGGCGAUGUCCUGGACUCGUCAAACUUUAACUCUGGGAAUGUGAUAACGUCGGAGUGAUAUUCAAUAAUCAAAACUUUCAACAACGGAUCUCUUGGUUCCA